Small nucleolar RNA from Jaculus jaculus (lesser Egyptian jerboa), 136 nucleotides. The record is from Ensembl. Lineage: Eukaryota; Metazoa; Chordata; Mammalia; Rodentia; Dipodidae.
UUUCCCAUUGAAUGCCACAUUUUCUCCUAAUAGAAUCUAGUGGCUAUGCCUGUGGGAUAGAUGAAAGGUGCCAUGAUCGGAGGAGGGAGGGUCUUUCAAUGUCCUCCCUUUACAUGAAAUGGCUGGACAAAAAUAG